This 1266-nucleotide ribosomal RNA is filed under the name uncultured organism. RNAcentral describes it as "bacterial SSU rRNA". It matches the Rfam family "Bacterial small subunit ribosomal RNA", at positions 167 to 1438 of the family's 1533-position model. The record is from RNAcentral.
UACUCCAUAAAGUCAAAUUAAGGCAUCUUUUAUUGAUUAAAGCUCCGGCGGUUAGAGAUGGGCAUGCGUGUCAUUAGCUAGUUGGUGAGGUAACGGCUCACCAAGGCCACGAUGACUAGGGGGUCUGAGAGGAUGAUCCCCCACACUGGUACUGAGACACGGACCAGACUCCUACGGGAGGCAGCAGUGAGGAAUAUUGGGCAAUGGACGCAAGUCUGACCCAGCCAUGCCGCGUGCAGGAUGACUGCCCUAUGGGUUGUAAACUGCUUUUGUUUGGGAAGAAACCCCCGAUCGUGAUCGGGGCUGACGGUACCAUACGAAUAAGCAUCGGCUAACUCCGUGCCAGCAGCCGCGGUAAUACGGAGGAUGCAAGCGUUAUCCGGAUUCAUUGGGUUUAAAGGGUGCGCAGGCGGAAUAUUAAGUCAGUGGUGAAAUCCUGCAGCUUAACUGUAGAACUGCCAUUGAUACUGAUAUUCUUGAAUAUAGUUGAGGUGGGCGGAAUGUGUAAUGUAGCGGUGAAAUGCUUAGAUAUUACACAGAACACCAAUUGCGAAGGCAGCUCACUAAACUAAUAUUGACGCUGAGGCACGAAAGCGUGGGUAGCAAACAGGAUUAGAUACCCUGGUAGUCCACGCUGUAAACUAUGAUCACUCGCUGUUGGCAAUACAUCGUCAGCGGCUGAGCGAAAGCAUUAAGUGAUCCACCUGGGGAGUACGGUCGCAAGAUUGAAACUCAAAGGAAUUGACGGGGGCCCGCACAAGCGGAGGAACAUGUGGUUUAAUUCGAUGAUACGCGAGGAGCCUUACCUGGGCUUAAAUGCAGAGCGACGUCCGCCGAAAGGUGGAUUCCUUCGGGCGAUCUGCAAGGUGCUGCAUGGUUGUCGUCAGCUCGUGCCGUGAGGUGUCGGGUUAAGUCCCAUAACGAGCGCAACCCUUAUCGUUAGUUGCCAGCGGGUAAUGCCGGGGACUCUAACGAAACUGCCGGUGUAAACCGUGAGGAAGGUGGGGAUGACGUCAAAUCAGCACGGCCCUUAUGUCCAGGGCUACACACGUGUUACAAUGGUCGGUACAGAGGGCAGCUACCACGCAAGUGGAUGCUGAUCUCGAAAACCGGUCUCAGUUCGGAUUGAAGUCUGCAACUCGACUUCAUGAAGCUGGAUUCGCUAGUAAUCGCGCAUCAGCCAUGGCGCGGUGAUACGUUCCCGGGCCUUGUACACACCGCCCGUCAAGCCAUGGAAGCUUGGGGUACCUGAAGUCCGUAACCGCA